Molecule: ribosomal RNA, 283 nt
Filed under: uncultured bacterium
Lineage: Bacteria
Description: partial 16S ribosomal RNA
Rfam family: Bacterial small subunit ribosomal RNA
Source: RNAcentral
GAACCUACGGGACGCAGCAGUGGGGAAUAUUGGGCAAUGGGCGCAAGCCUGACCCAGCAACGCCGCGUGAAGGAUGAAGGUUUUCGGAUUGUAAACUUCUGUCGCGAGGGACGAAGAAUGACGGUACAUCGUAAGAAAGCCCCGGCUAACUACGUGCCAGCAGCCGCGGUAAUACGUAGGGGGCAAGCGUUGUCCGGAAUGACUGGGCGUAAAGGGAGUGUAGGCGGCUCAUCAAGUUAGAUGUGAAAUCCCGCGGCUUAACCGCGGAACGGCAUCCAAAACU